GGUGUUUUUUUCUCUAAGCUGUGUCCUCAUUAACCUCAUUUCUCGGCUCCGCCGGGUGAAAGGCGCGGACCCCCGCAUUAUGGGAGCUGUCAGCGGCUGGGCGCGGAAAAUGAGUGUCAAGGAGGAGCGGGAGAAAGGGCCGCACAAUGGCGCCUUUCUCCCCCGGCCCUGCGGGGGGGCCCUUUCACACGGGCCGCGGCGGGGCCCCCGGCCGGGCGGGCUCGGAGGGAGGGGCUGGGGACGGCGGGACGGGGGGAACCGGCUGGCGGAGCCCCUGGACGCGGCCCGCAGGAGCCGACCGCCCUGUGCCGGGGCGGCUCCGCGCCCCCCCGGGGCUCUGCCCCCUCCCGAGGGCAGCCCCGACGGCCGCUUGGCCCCGGCCCCGCCGCUGGCCGCGCAGCGCCCGCCCCCGGCCGGUCCGGCCCGAGCGCGGCCCCCGGGAGGGUCCCGGUCCCGCAGGUGGGGGCGGCUGGGCGGGUCCCCGGGCUGGGGCGGGGCUGAGCGGAGGCACCUGGGCCCCCCCAGCAGGCGCAGCUCCCGUCGCAGCAGAGGCCGCCAGACCGCGCCCGUAAAAACCUCCUUUCUGGCUCCGGAGCCAUUCACACCCAGAUGAGAAACUCAAAACGAUCUGGACCCCCUGAGCCAUCCCCAUCCCUCCACGAACUCCAGUUUUUUGGUACAAAAUAUAUAUAUAUAAAAAUAGACUAAGUUUCUAGGCAAGAUGGCUGAAUUGGCCACCUCUUCCAGUCCAAUGGAAAACAACAAGUAUGCUUAACCAGAUUAUGCCUGGAGAAAAUAUCCAUUCAAUAUACAAAUACUGCAGGACUUUCACAUUGGAAACCCCUUAGAAAAUGACAAGUGACAAACCUCUAAUUGGCUGUUUGACACAUGCUGAACACCCCGACCCAUAGCAGCAAACUUAAAAUAAAAGGAAAAAGGUAGACCUUGAAUGCUAAUGGUACUGACUGGUAAACAGGGUCUGCAGCGGCUUUCAACCCCUGCUCACUAAACAUUACAGUAAAUCACAUUAUGUGCCUUUGAGAGGCAACUCCAACAGGGACCCUUCGCUCAGACACCCCAGCGCUGCCGGGACAGCCGAGAUCCCGAAACACAAUGACGGGAAGAGGCAGGGGAAGGAGCACAGGAGGAGGGGAACGUCAAAAAAACUCCUGGAUCAUCGUCUUCAUCAUCCUUAGACCUUUGGGAUUGAACCAGCUGGUGAGCAAAAGGCACAAUAGCAAUGGUGACCGCAGAGUCCUGCUGCUGGCGGGAGGGGACGCGCCUGGCAAGGCGGGUGAUGGAGGGAAGGCUCUUGCUGUCGGGAUCUGUGUUCCCCUAGGCACAAGCCCGGGCCCAGUGAUUGCUCACCCAGCCGGGAGGCAGGAACGAGUCUCUGCAUGGAGAAAUGCAUCUGAGCUCCGACGGGGGCUCUGGAGGGAGCGGCCAUCUCAGAGCCAGCGUGCAGUGAGUGCAGCCCCCGCCGUGGUGGAACGCAGCCCCCGCCGCUGCAGCUCGUCUCCUGCACCCUCUGUGGAUGCUUGAUGUCCAGCCCCUCUUCAGAGCAUCCUCAGGUGCUUUGCACCCCCCCAGGGACACCAACAUCCACAUCCUGCCACUCUGAGCAAGACCAUCCCUGCCGGACCGGCUGCCUCCUGGUGGGCAUCCCUCCGCUGGCCUCGGCAUGGCGGCUGGGCUCCGUCUGACAGCUGGGCGUCCUGCUGGGGACCAGGGCACUUCUCCCCACUGGUGUCACAGCUGUCCCCAGGACCCUGUGACCAACCCGCUUUGCAUAGGCACAAACCUGUUGUGGGACCGGAGUCGCAGACGAGGCUGAGAUGGGGACGGUCCGAAAGGCACAUCAUUGUCAUUCAGUUUGGAUUUGCAAAGGCCAAGCAGCAAACAUUUGGUGUGUGUGGGAGAGCACUACCCCUGUGCUCCCAGAUUCCUCUGUUCUUCUCCCAAAACGCUCAUAUCGCCAGCACAAGCACACCCAGAAGAGACCAUUCUGCUGACACAGGAUAACGUUUCCUUGGACUGUUCGAAGCAACAGUGGCUCAUUUGGCAAAGCUAAAACUAGAAGGCAAACACCACAGACGGUGACAUUUUGGCAUCCUGGAGCUCAAUGGAAUCUCUGUCCUUGGGAACCUCCUCCCUGGCCAGGGCUCCCUCCGCUCCUCGGGCAGAGCGAUGCCCAGCGCUGGCCGGUGCUGCGCCCGGUCUCUGCAGAGCCCCUGCCCCAGGCUGCCGAUGCUGUGACAUGGUGACAUUCAAGGCUUGCCCGGCUGCCCUGGGGCACAGCUCCUGUGGUGACACACCGCCUGCUCACCCGCACACUGUCGGCCCUCACAGGACGCCGUGCUCAGCUCCGUAACACGACAAACGCAAAGCCACGACCAACGGGAUGGCUGAGGAUUAAAUACAAGAGCUAAGGGAGCACAGGAGCCUGUCCUGGCAGAGGCUGCAGCCGCCGCUCAUGGAACCAUCACCCAUCCCUCGAAGAACCGGGCAGCACGUGCAGCCAGCGCUGGCUUUUUGUUUCCCCUGAGAACCGCACGGCCGCCAGCCCACGGCAGCAAAUGCAAUGCAGUGGGCUGAUGCAUUGGCGGGGUCAGAAGUACCUGCACCCCCAGUUUGGUCCAUUUAUCUCCACAUUCCUUUGUGUGAUGACGCUGCGAGUGCCCUCGCCUGUGGCAAAGUGAGAUUCCCAUCCUGGUGCCAGGUCAGUCACCUGGCGAGGGUGACCGCGACACAGCGCCGUCCACGCACAGAGCCAGCAGCCACCAAGGAGCCGCUGGCGGGACAGCCCUCGGGCACCUCCUGACCGUGCAGCGAGGCCUCGCGGGGUACAGCUUCCCACCUCCUCCAGGAACCGAGUUCAGCAUUCACAGAACCACCGUGACCUCGAAUACUACUGAACUCUGCCUGAACUGCUGCCGUCGCUUUGGCUUGUAAGAGAAACCCCUAGCAGGGAAAAAGGCGUCCGUCAAAGAGCUGUUAUCGGUUGCAAUCACAAGCCAAAAGGAACCCACCGGCUGCUGCACAGGGCGGUGGGAUGAAGGUGAGCAGCUGCCGCGGGCCCUGCGGGGAACGGCGGCAUGAGGCACCGGGGCCCGGCAGGAGCCAGCCCGGGCAGCAAGGCGAUGCCCACGGCCAGUCGCCUUUUGCUUUGAAAGAGGCACCUUUGUUGCCCGUCUCAUCGGUGGCACCCAGGAUUCAGUCUGCCCUAAACUGCUUUUAUUACCCUCCUCAAAAAAAAGGAUUUUGUCCUUAAUAAAAAAAUGUAAACAAUAUUUCCCUAUCAGCUGGAAACCACAACAGAAACGUCGUGGACUUCACCAUCAUUGGAAGUGACCUCGCCCAGGGGGGUGGCUGGGCAGAACGUACCCUGAAAAAACCCUGUUACAGUUGCCCCCCAGCAGCCCCCAUGGGCUGGGAGCAGCAGCUGCCUCGUUUGGAUUGAUUUGCAAUUCCCUACGGCGAAUUGGUGGCUCAGACAGAUUCACAGGGAGCCCAGAGGGAAGAAAAGGAUCUCCUCCUCCUUUCCCGGCUAUCAGCCUGGCUCGUCGCAGCUCCGCACCCUCUCCCUGCUGCCGGAGAGCCACACACUUUGUGAUCUGCCAUUUCAAGCUGUAAAGCAAAGAAAUCCGUGUACAGUGAAGCCUGGCUCAAAACUUGCCAGCCCGGCACCCCGGCAGCGCCGAUGCCCCUGCUCCCCGAGAACGGCAGCGGCCACCUCUGCUCGGGGCGCCGCUCCGGGGGAGGAUGGAGAGAAGCUGGGACGGAUCCAUCGACCCGCUGGCAGUUCAGAGCAGGUUUCACCACGUCUUUCUCGAGCCUCUCUGGACACAAGUCCCAGCAGGUCUCGUGUGUUCACUUUUAGAAAGAAAAACCUGAUGGAGGAGCUGGGCAAAGCUGAGGGAGAGGCUGAAGGGCACUGUCCCUCCUCUCAUGCUUCUGGGCUCAGUAUUGCCGUAGGUUGAAAAACCCGACGCUGGUGGGGGACUCCUUGACCGUCACGGUGAUCAGAUUAGCAGUGACAUCGGUGACAAAGACGUGCUCGAUCAGGCUGCGGGUGGGUUUCCAGUCCUGGCUGGUCUGGAUAGAGACAGACAUGUUCUGCCCCACGCCAGGGAAGGAUGCGGAAUCCUGGUCCGAAUCCGAGCUGCUCUCUUCGCCUGUGCUCACUUCAGAAAGCGCGGCGGGCUUGCGGAUCUCCGCAGCCGUGUGCCCCUCCUGAGUGCCGGCCGUGCCGCUCUUGGCCAAGUCCCUGUCGCCUGCCCGCAGCGCCUGCUUCUCGCUCUUGCCGCCAUCCCCCCCCAGCACCACACCGGCGCUGGCAGCAUUCAGCCCGGCACCCACCGCGCCACCCUUUGUGCCGGCGGCACCACCGCUUGCUGCUGUGCCGCUGCCGGAGCCUUUGGACAGGGCGCUGCAAAGGUGACGGGGGAGGCUGCUCCCGCCAGCCGUGCUCAGCCCAUUUUUGACGCUCUGCAGGUUUAGAGCUUGGAGGUUCAGCUCCUGGCUGGAGGCUGCCUGGCUGCCGGCCCCGGACGAGCUCGCCGGCAUCUUGCUGCCAUUGUGCAGCGUUUGGCCUCCUGCAGCAAACCCCGAUUUCUGGUCCCCUCCAGCGCUGCUGCUGGGAGCCUUGGCAGUUUUGGGUCCCUGCACGCUUGGCCCAAACUCCCCAGAUCCUUUCUGGUUCCUCAUUUUUAAGUCCAGCCCUAAGCCACUCUUACUGGCUGCCUGGGACUUCAGUGCCAGCCUGCCCAGGGGGGAGGUCUCUGCCGAGUUCUGGCUUUGGGACAUCCUGUUCAUGUAGUGCACGAUGGAGCUCUGCCAGCUGAUGGCGCGGGUUGGGCUCGCGGAGCCGCUCUUCAUCAUGCUGGGCAGGUUUUCUGCAGCUGAACCCCCCGAGCUGAGCCCGGCCAAGGCCCCUGGCGGGUCCUUCAGCCCGGCCGUGCCCGAGCCCUGGGCGCUGUGCUGGGGCUGCAGCUUCCCCAGCAGCUUGGCGCUGCCGCCCGCCUCCUUCCGAGACGUUUUCAGCACCUUUGUCAGGUUCACGGUCCUUCGAGCCGCUUUCUGCUCCGGGGGAAGAGGUUUCCGCCCACGCUUCUUCCUGGAGGUGUCUUUCAUUUCGGGCUUUGCCACCAGGAUCUGAGCUUUCUUCUGCGGUACCGGGUGAGUCUCUCUGCCGCGGGGACCUCUCUUAGCGUCCAGGUCACUCUCAUCCUCUUCAUCAGAGGAGGAGGAAGAGGAGGAUGUGGAGGAAGAGGAGCUACUUGACUUAGUUUUUGCGGGCAUCUCUGGUUCCUGCCAAGCAAGAGAGAGAGAGACAGGAAAAGAGUUAACACAAAUUACCAAAGAAGAGUUAUGGGCACUGCAAACCCUUCCGUGUUGCCUGGCCGGGUGCCUCAGACACACACAGGCUCCCCCAUGUGUGCUGAUCUGCCAGAAAACAAGUGGGAGAGCGAACAGCACAAAACCAACCAGGCUUAAAUAUCAGGCAGGACCCUUGGGCCAGGAAACUCUUCAGUCCCUUCCACACCACCAGAGUGAUGAAGAGACGUUCUCCUCAUCCACCCACCCACCACUGCAGCCUUCAGAGCCCCUCGUGCGGGGUCUGCGGGCGUCACCGUGUCCUCAGCACCCGCCGGAGCCCGAGCAUCUGCCGUGCCCUGCACUGGUGCCUUCCAAAGCCCGAGCCCCCUCAGCUCCGUCGUGGCCAUGGAUUUCCACCUCCACCGGGACUCACCACAUGUUUCCUGGGCCUGCCCCUGGGUCGCUUCCCCCUCUUCCGAUUCUGUGCUUCUUUUUCAUGUUCCCUGAGAAAACAACGAUUAAGUCAUGGGCGGUGACAGCAGAGCAUCCCUGCUUGCUACGCUAACAUCCCCACAGCAAGAAGCUCCCAGCGGUCAGUGACGGACCACAAGAGCGUUACUCAUCCCAAGUCAGUGGCUCUCCCAGUUCAUGGUGAGGUUUGCAGUCUCUCUAGUACAGCAGGAUCAGGCAAACAGAUGUGCCCGUCCCUGCCAAGCCUCGCCUCCCUCAGGCGCUGGCGGCGCGGAGCUUCCCCGCGCUCACAGGGCAGCGGCGCAGCCUCCAGGCGCAGGAGAAGCGAACGCGCUCCUGGAAACUCUGCGAGUUCUCUCCUUCGCGGGGCUCAUUUCAUCUGUCCCGCAUGUCCUGGCCCAAACGCGGUGGCCCAGGCUGACAGCCACGCAAAGCCCGAGGCGGCUGUACGGGGAAUGCUUUCAGGUCACUAUACUAGUUUUGUAAUUCUCCGUUUAAAAAGGAUGGUGUUAAGCUGUAAUACAUCUGGCUAAUUAAACGCCGUGCUGUCUGCACUAA
Long non-coding RNA from Columba livia (rock pigeon), 6348 nucleotides. RefSeq lists it as uncharacterized. NCBI's taxonomy places the organism in Eukaryota, Metazoa, Chordata, Aves, Columbiformes, Columbidae. The transcript has 2 exons. The record is from RefSeq and is a predicted model, not a curated record.